RNAcentral lists this ribosomal RNA (468 nucleotides) under uncultured bacterium. RNAcentral describes it as "partial 16S ribosomal RNA". It matches the Rfam family "Bacterial small subunit ribosomal RNA", at positions 28 to 507 of the family's 1533-position model. The record is from RNAcentral.
GACGAACGCUGGCGGCGUGCUUAACACAUGCAAGUCGAACGGACAGGCCCUGCUUUUGUGGGGUGCUCGAGUGGCGAACGGGUGAGUAACACGUGAGUAACCUGCCCUUGCCUUUGGGAUAACUUCAGGAAACUGGGGCUAAUACCGGAUAGGAGCUCAUGCUGCAUGGUGGGGGUUGGAAAGUUUCGGCGGUUGGGGAUGGACUCGCGGCUUAUGAGCUUGUUGGUGGGGUAGUGGCUUACCAAGGCUUUGACGGGUAGCCGGCCUGAGAGGGUGACCGGCCACAUUGGGACUGAGGUACGGCCCAGACGCCUACGGGAGGCAGCAGUGGGGAAUAUUGCACAAUGGGCGGAAGCCUGAUGCAGCAACGCCGCGUGCGGGAUGACGGCCUUCGGGUUGUAAACCGCUUUCGCCUGUGACGAAGCGUGAGUGACGGUAAUGGGUAAAGAAGCACCGGCUAACUACGUG